AAGAAAGUCGCUAGGCCCAGGGGAGAUUUUUGCUCCUCGUUAUUGUAGCUAAAGCUGCUUAAGAUUUAAUGAAUUGAAGAGAGCAUUGAAUCUCGAGACUAAAAUAUUGAGAGCUCCAGUGCCGGAUCCAUUUGAAGCCCCAAUUUUGAAAGUGCCCUUGUUUUGGUAGGUGGGAUUUUAUUAUACUCGUAUUUCUUUUUGUAAUUUAUAAUAUGGUUUCAACACAGAGAUCCAAUUAACAUUCACUUUACAGUUUUAUUAAAUUAUUAGCUCCACCUUUCUCAGGUUACUUGCUCUCAAUAGGAUUAAAGGCGAAAUCCAUUUUGAGUUUGAUCAACUUUCCUUUAUUAAUUUGAGUUAAAAAUCUCAGAGUAAGACGAGCUUUCCUUAAAUUACGUUGGAUGAAAUUGAACUUUUUUUAAUACUAAUUAAAAAACUAUUCCAGUCAGAUAAUCAAACCUGAAUUCGUUUAAUCUAAAUAGGAACAUAAAAUAUACUGUUAUUCUUCAUAUGCUCCUAGAUUCGUGUGAACGAGAAACCAUGCAUUCCAAAUUAAACAGCUCUUCUAAAACAAGAGUGUUACUGUCAAAGUCUUUCAUCAUCAUCCAUGAUCAACAACAUUCAAGCCAUUUACAGAUCCCAUGAAUUUCUGGGUUUUUACAGAAUUUUUAAGGACAAGUGAAAGCAUCGCCCAGUUCCAUCCACUUUUCUUGAGCUUGUCCGUCGCCGCCAACCAAAGCCUGAAAAGCACGUUUGACUCUGUUUUUGCACUUGUGAUGACGGAUUCGUCUAAGAACAGCCUCUUUCUCCAG
This 812-nucleotide long non-coding RNA is filed under the name Gossypium barbadense (sea-island cotton). RNAcentral describes it as "long non-coding RNA (GBAR_LNC009864)". Lineage: Eukaryota; Viridiplantae; Streptophyta; Magnoliopsida; Malvales; Malvaceae. The record is from RNAcentral.